AUCGAGGAUCUCACACCCCAACAAACGUAUCUUCUUCUUUUUCCCUCCGUUAUCACGUUGAGACGAAUCUUGACUAAUAUAACCUUUGUCGACCCUGGCCAAGAAUAGAGAAGAGAAACCUUUUUUUCAAUUCAAAACUUUUCUUGCAUAUUGCCUUCCGACCAAAGCAAUGAACUUCUCCUUAGUUUAUGUUUCGUCUAAUCCCAGCGAACUAAAUAUAAUCCCACAGAAUUAACAGAAUCUUUGCUCAUAACAAU
This 257-nucleotide long non-coding RNA is filed under the name Citrus maxima (pomelo). RNAcentral's name for it is "long non-coding RNA (CMAX_LNC003996)". The record is from RNAcentral. Lineage: Eukaryota; Viridiplantae; Streptophyta; Magnoliopsida; Sapindales; Rutaceae.